RNAcentral lists this ribosomal RNA (247 nucleotides) under Armillaria borealis. RNAcentral's name for it is "partial 26S ribosomal RNA". It matches the Rfam family "Eukaryotic large subunit ribosomal RNA", at positions 3151 to 3401 of the family's 3401-position model. The record is from RNAcentral. Lineage: Eukaryota; Fungi; Basidiomycota; Agaricomycetes; Agaricales; Physalacriaceae.
GAAACGAUGAUGUUGGUGUCGCACAUUAGACUUGUGUUUAAAUAGAGCUUUGCUCGUGAACCAAAUAUGGUGGGCUGGGUUGUCUUUGUGGAAACGCUUAGGCGACUUGUCUACGAAUUGUAAUCAUAAUAUGGGCGGCGGUGAAUCCUUUGCAGACGACUUGAAUGGGAACGGGGUACUGUAAGUGGUAGAGUAGCCUUGUUGCUACGAUCCACUGAGGUUAAGCCCUUGUUCUAAAGAUUUGUUC